UACGUAGGGGGCUAGCGUUGUCCGGAAUCAUUGGGCGUAAAGAGCGUGUAGGCGGUCCGGUAAGUCCGCUGUGAAAGUCGGGGGCUCAACCCUCGAAUGCCGGUGGAUACUGUCGGGCUAGAGUGCGGAAGAGGCGAGUGGAAUUCCUGGUGUAGCGGUGAAAUGCGCAGAUAUCAGGAGGAACACCGAUGGCGAAGGCAGGUCUCUGGGCAUUAACUGACGCUGAGGAGCGAAAGCAUGGGGAGCGAACAGG
RNAcentral lists this ribosomal RNA (253 nucleotides) under uncultured bacterium. RNAcentral's name for it is "partial 16S ribosomal RNA". It matches the Rfam family "Bacterial small subunit ribosomal RNA", at positions 524 to 776 of the family's 1533-position model. The record is from RNAcentral.